UACAGAGGUGGCAAGCGUUGUUCGGAAUUACUGGGCGUAAAGGGCGCGUAGGCGGCCUUCUAAGUCAGACGUGAAAUCCCCCGGCUUAACCUGGGAACUGCGUCUGAUACUGGAAGGCUUGAGUGCGGGAGAGGGAUGUGGAAUUCCAGGUGUAGCGGUGAAAUGCGUAGAUAUCUGGAGGAACACCGGUGGCGAAGGCGGCAUCCUGGACCGGUAUUGACGCUGAGGCGCGAAAGCUAGGGUAGCAAACGGG
Molecule: ribosomal RNA, 253 nt
Filed under: uncultured bacterium
Lineage: Bacteria
Description: partial 16S ribosomal RNA
Rfam family: Bacterial small subunit ribosomal RNA
Source: RNAcentral